This 1470-nucleotide long non-coding RNA is filed under the name Phaseolus vulgaris (common bean). Its description in RNAcentral is "long non-coding RNA (PVUL_LNC002923)". Lineage: Eukaryota; Viridiplantae; Streptophyta; Magnoliopsida; Fabales; Fabaceae. The record is from RNAcentral.
CAAUGGGUCAGAGGACAUCAUGUCCCAAUGAUCAAAGACACACUGUGGGAAAGCUUGGCCUGAAGUUGCAGCCCUCAACGUACUUGAGAAACCAAAGGACUCAAUGACAGGGAGAUAUGCCUUGAUGUUGUAGAGUGGGGUACCUGGCCUCUGCAUUUCCUCAAACACGUGUCCACGUUUCUGAUUCAGAACACUGUAGAUACCACCAAGAGCUUGCUCAGGAGCCUGGAUUUCAACCAGGUAGACAGGCUCAAGAAGCCUGGGUUUUGCAGUAAGCUGAGAAGCAUAGAAAACUCUUCUGGCAGUAGGAAUGAUUUGACCACCUCCUCUGUGGAUAGCAUCAGCGUGAAGGACCACAUCACAUACUUCAAAACAUAUAGCUCUCAUGUUCUCCUCAGCCAAUGCACCUUCUUUUGAUGCCCACUGGAAUCCAGCAACCACAGAAUCCUUUAUUUCAUUCAGAUACUGCACUCCCUUACACAUAUCAACCACCAUGUUGGGUCCAGUGGUCUCAGGGCCAAAACACCAAAUCUUUUUCGCAAGAUCCUUGUCCCACCCAUACUCUUCAGACAAGAUCUUAGAACGAACCUUGGGGUCAUCUCUUGGUCCAAUCUUGCCAUCAUCAAUUGCUUCAGCCAGACCAUCCUCCAUUGGCCUUGCUUCCAUGUACAGACGGUUGUGCUUGUUGGGUGACUUGCUCAUCACAGUGCGGCAUGACCUCUCUAGGACAGUCUCCCUGAAUGACACAACAGGGUCGGAUUUAAUAAUCUCAGCUCCACCCAUGAAGUCGUCCUGCAAGUCCUUCAAACAGAUCUCCAGAUGAAGCUCUCCCGCACCAGCAACAAUGUGUUCACCAGACUCUUCAAUGGUACAAACAACCAUAGGAUCUGAUUUGGCCAACCUCUUGAGACCUUCAACAAGCUUGGGAAGAUCUGAGGCAACCUUGCACUGAACAGCAACACGAACAACAGGGGACACAGAAAACUUCAUAGCCCUAAUAGGGUGUGCAUCAACUUCCUUCUCAUUUGUCAAUGUAGCAUUCUUAGUGAUGAAUUGAUCCAAACCAACCAAAGCAACUGUGUUACCACAUGGCACAUCCUCAACAGUUUCCUGUCUCUUACCCAUCCAAAUGACAGUUCUUUGAACACUCUUAACAUACAAAUCUUUUUUCUCUCCAGGAACAUAAUUUGGUCCCAUAAUCCUUACCUUCAAACCAGUUGAAACCUUGCCAGAGAACACACGUCCAAAAGCAAAGAAUCUACCCUUGUCAGAUGCUGGAAUCAUCUUUGACACAUAGAGCAUAAGAGGACCUUCAGGGUCACAGGCCCUAAUAGAUGCAGCAUAUUGAUCAUCAAGAGGACCCUCGUACAAGUUUUCCACACGAUACUUCUGAGCAGUUGAUGGAGAGGGAAGAUGAAAGAUCAUCAUUUCCAAUAGAGCAGUACUUGCUGGAAGCCAGGUUUGCAUGAC